Molecule: ribosomal RNA, 1546 nt
Filed under: Klebsiella pneumoniae
Lineage: Bacteria; Pseudomonadati; Pseudomonadota; Gammaproteobacteria; Enterobacterales; Enterobacteriaceae
Description: bacterial LSU rRNA
Rfam family: Bacterial large subunit ribosomal RNA
Source: RNAcentral
GGCCGAAAGGCGUAGUCGAUGGGAAACAGGUUAAUAUUCCUGUACUUGGUGUUACUGCGAAGGGGGGACGGAGAAGGCUAUGUUAGCCGGGCGACGGUUGUCCCGGUUUAAGCAUGUAGGCUGGUUGUCCAGGCAAAUCCGGAUAAUCAAGGCUGAGGUGUGAUGACGAGGCACUACGGUGCUGAAGUAACAAAUGCCCUGCUUCCAGGAAAAGCCUCUAAGCAUCAGGUAACAUUAAAUCGUACCCCAAACCGACACAGGUGGUCAGGUAGAGAAUACCAAGGCGCUUGAGAGAACUCGGGUGAAGGAACUAGGCAAAAUGGUGCCGUAACUUCGGGAGAAGGCACGCUGGUGUGUAGGUGAAGUCCCUGCGGAUGGAGCUGAGACCAGUCGAAGAUACCAGCUGGCUGCAACUGUUUAUUAAAAACACAGCACUGUGCAAACACGAAAGUGGACGUAUACGGUGUGACGCCUGCCCGGUGCCGGAAGGUUAAUUGAUGGGGUUAUCCGUAAGGAGAAGCUCUUGAUCGAAGCCCCGGUAAACGGCGGCCGUAACUAUAACGGUCCUAAGGUAGCGAAAUUCCUUGUCGGGUAAGUUCCGACCUGCACGAAUGGCGUAAUGAUGGCCAGGCUGUCUCCACCCGAGACUCAGUGAAAUUGAACUCGCUGUGAAGAUGCAGUGUACCCGCGGCAAGACGGAAAGACCCCGUGAACCUUUACUAUAGCUUGACACUGAACAUUGAGCCUUGAUGUGUAGGAUAGGUGGGAGGCUUUGAAGCGUGGACGCCAGUCUGCGUGGAGCCAACCUUGAAAUACCACCCUUUAAUGUUUGAUGUUCUAACGUUGGCCCCUGACCGGGGUUGCGGACAGUGUCUGGUGGGUAGUUUGACUGGGGCGGUCUCCUCCCAAAGCGUAACGGAGGAGCACGAAGGUUAGCUAAUCCUGGUCGGACAUCAGGAGGUUAGUGCAAUGGCAUAAGCUAGCUUGACUGCGAGCGUGACGGCGCGAGCAGGUGCGAAAGCAGGUCAUAGUGAUCCGGUGGUUCUGAAUGGAAGGGCCAUCGCUCAACGGAUAAAAGGUACUCCGGGGAUAACAGGCUGAUACCGCCCAAGAGUUCAUAUCGACGGCGGUGUUUGGCACCUCGAUGUCGGCUCAUCACAUCCUGGGGCUGAAGUAGGUCCCAAGGGUAUGGCUGUUCGCCAUUUAAAGUGGUACGCGAGCUGGGUUUAGAACGUCGUGAGACAGUUCGGUCCCUAUCUGCCGUGGGCGCUGGAGAAUUGAGGGGGGCUGCUCCUAGUACGAGAGGACCGGAGUGGACGCAUCACUGGUGUUCGGGUUGUCAUGCCAAUGGCACUGCCCGGUAGCUAAAUGCGGAAGAGAUAAGUGCUGAAAGCAUCUAAGCACGAAACUUGCCCCGAGAUGAGUUCUCCCUGAGACUUUAAGUCUCCUGAAGGAACGUUAAAGACGAUGACGUUGAUAGGCCGGGUGUGUAAGCGCAGCGAUGCGUUGAGCUAACCGGUACUAAUGAACCGUGAGGCUUAACCUU